Molecule: ribosomal RNA, 2902 nt
Filed under: Klebsiella pneumoniae
Lineage: Bacteria; Pseudomonadati; Pseudomonadota; Gammaproteobacteria; Enterobacterales; Enterobacteriaceae
Description: 23S ribosomal RNA
Rfam family: Bacterial large subunit ribosomal RNA
Source: RNAcentral
GGUUAAGCGACUAAGCGUACACGGUGGAUGCCCUGGCAGUCAGAGGCGAUGAAGGACGUGCUAAUCUGCGAAAAGCGUCGGUAAGGUGAUAUGAACCGUUAUAACCGGCGAUGUCCGAAUGGGGAAACCCAGUGCAAUUCGUUGCACUAUCGUUAACUGAAUACAUAGGUUAACGAGGCGAACCGGGGGAACUGAAACAUCUAAGUACCCCGAGGAAAAGAAAUCAACCGAGAUUCCCCCAGUAGCGGCGAGCGAACGGGGAGCAGCCCAGAGUCUGAAUCAGCUUGUGUGUUAGUGGAACGGUCUGGAAAGUCCGACGGUACAGGGUGAUAGUCCCGUACACCAAAAUGCACAGGUUGUGAACUCGAAGAGUAGGGCGGGACACGUGGUAUCCUGUCUGAAUAUGGGGGGACCAUCCUCCAAGGCUAAAUACUCCUGACUGACCGAUAGUGAACCAGUACCGUGAGGGAAAGGCGAAAAGAACCCCGGCGAGGGGAGUGAAAAAGAACCUGAAACCGUGUACGUACAAGCAGUGGGAGCACCUUCGGGUGUGACUGCGUACCUUUUGUAUAAUGGGUCAGCGACUUAUAUUCUGUAGCAAGGUUAACCGUAUAGGGGAGCCGCAGGGAAACCGAGUCUUAACUGGGCGUUAAGUUGCAGGGUAUAGACCCGAAACCCGGUGAUCUAGCCAUGGGCAGGUUGAAGGUUGGGUAACACUAACUGGAGGACCGAACCGACUAAUGUUGAAAAAUUAGCGGAUGACUUGUGGCUGGGGGUGAAAGGCCAAUCAAACCGGGAGAUAGCUGGUUCUCCCCGAAAGCUAUUUAGGUAGCGCCUCGUGAACUCAUCUUCGGGGGUAGAGCACUGUUUCGGCUAGGGGGUCAUCCCGACUUACCAACCCGAUGCAAACUACGAAUACCGAAGAAUGUUAUCACGGGAGACACACGGCGGGUGCUAACGUCCGUCGUGAAGAGGGAAACAACCCAGACCGCCAGCUAAGGUCCCAAAGUCAUGGUUAAGUGGGAAACGAUGUGGGAAGGCACAGACAGCCAGGAUGUUGGCUUAGAAGCAGCCAUCAUUUAAAGAAAGCGUAAUAGCUCACUGGUCGAGUCGGCCUGCGCGGAAGAUGUAACGGGGCUAAACCAUGCACCGAAGCUGCGGCAGCGACACUAUGUGUUGUUGGGUAGGGGAGCGUUCUGUAAGCCUGCGAAGGUGUGCUGUGAGGCAUGCUGGAGGUAUCAGAAGUGCGAAUGCUGACAUAAGUAACGAUAAAGCGGGUGAAAAGCCCGCUCGCCGGAAGACCAAGGGUUCCUGUCCAACGUUAAUCGGGGCAGGGUGAGUCGACCCCUAAGGCGAGGCCGAAAGGCGUAGUCGAUGGGAAACAGGUUAAUAUUCCUGUACUUGGUGUUACUGCGAAGGGGGGACGGAGAAGGCUAUGUUAGCCGGGCGACGGUUGUCCCGGUUUAAGCAUGUAGGCUGGUUAUCCAGGCAAAUCCGGAUAAUCAAGGCUGAGGUGUGAUGACGAGGCACUACGGUGCUGAAGUAACAAAUGCCCUGCUUCCAGAAAAAGCCUCUAAGCAUCAGGUAACAUCAAAUCGUACCCCAAACCGACACAGGUGGUCAGGUAGAGAAUACCAAGGCGCUUGAGAGAACUCGGGUGAAGGAACUAGGCAAAAUGGUGCCGUAACUUCGGGAGAAGGCACGCUGGUGUGUAGGUGAAGUCCCUGCGGAUGGAGCUGAGACCAGUCGAAGAUACCAGCUGGCUGCAACUGUUUAUUAAAAACACAGCACUGUGCAAACACGAAAGUGGACGUAUACGGUGUGACGCCUGCCCGGUGCCGGAAGGUUAAUUGAUGGGGUUAUCCGUAAGGAGAAGCUCUUGAUCGAAGCCCCGGUAAACGGCGGCCGUAACUAUAACGGUCCUAAGGUAGCGAAAUUCCUUGUCGGGUAAGUUCCGACCUGCACGAAUGGCGUAAUGAUGGCCAGGCUGUCUCCACCCGAGACUCAGUGAAAUUGAACUCGCUGUGAAGAUGCAGUGUACCCGCGGCAAGACGGAAAGACCCCGUGAACCUUUACUAUAGCUUGACACUGAACAUUGAGCCUUGAUGUGUAGGAUAGGUGGGAGGCUUUGAAGCGUGGACGCCAGUCUGCGUGGAGCCAACCUUGAAAUACCACCCUUUAAUGUUUGAUGUUCUAACGUUGGCCCCUGACCGGGGUUGCGGACAGUGUCUGGUGGGUAGUUUGACUGGGGCGGUCUCCUCCCAAAGCGUAACGGAGGAGCACGAAGGUUAGCUAAUCCUGGUCGGACAUCAGGAGGUUAGUGCAAUGGCAUAAGCUAGCUUGACUGCGAGCGUGACGGCGCGAGCAGGUGCGAAAGCAGGUCAUAGUGAUCCGGUGGUUCUGAAUGGAAGGGCCAUCGCUCAACGGAUAAAAGGUACUCCGGGGAUAACAGGCUGAUACCGCCCAAGAGUUCAUAUCGACGGCGGUGUUUGGCACCUCGAUGUCGGCUCAUCACAUCCUGGGGCUGAAGUAGGUCCCAAGGGUAUGGCUGUUCGCCAUUUAAAGUGGUACGCGAGCUGGGUUUAGAACGUCGUGAGACAGUUCGGUCCCUAUCUGCCGUGGGCGCUGGAGAAUUGAGGGGGGCUGCUCCUAGUACGAGAGGACCGGAGUGGACGCAUCACUGGUGUUCGGGUUGUCAUGCCAAUGGCACUGCCCGGUAGCUAAAUGCGGAAGAGAUAAGUGCUGAAAGCAUCUAAGCACGAAACUUGCCCCGAGAUGAGUUCUCCCUGAGACUUUAAGUCUCCUGAAGGAACGUUGAAGACGACGACGUUGAUAGGCCGGGUGUGUAAGCGCAGCGAUGCGUUGAGCUAACCGGUACUAAUGAACCGUGAGGCUUAACCUU